CCUACGGGAGGCAGCAGUGGGGGAUAUUGCACAAUGGGGGAAACCCUGAUGCAGCGACGCCGCGUGUGGGAAGACGGUCCUCUGGAUUGUAAACCACUGUCCCCAGGGACAAAGAUGACGGAACCUGGGGAGGAAGCUCCGACUAACAACGUGCCAGCAGCCGCGGUAAUACGGAGGGGGCAAGCGUUGUCCGGAAUUGCUGGGUGUAAAGGGAGCGUAGGGGGUAUGGCAAUUUGGCUGUUAAAUCUACCGGCUCAACUGGUAGUCGCACUCAAAACUGCUAUUCUUGAGUGAAGUAGAGGCAGGCGGAAUUCCUAGUGUAGCGGUGAAAUGCGUAGAUAUUAGGAGGAACACCAGUGGCGAAGGCGGCCUGCUGGGCUUUUACUGACGCUGAGGCUCGAAAGUGUGGGGAGCAAACAGGAUUAGAUACCCCAGUAGUC
RNAcentral lists this ribosomal RNA (440 nucleotides) under uncultured bacterium. RNAcentral describes it as "partial 16S ribosomal RNA". It matches the Rfam family "Bacterial small subunit ribosomal RNA", at positions 338 to 795 of the family's 1533-position model. The record is from RNAcentral.